RNAcentral lists this ribosomal RNA (503 nucleotides) under uncultured bacterium. RNAcentral describes it as "bacterial SSU rRNA". It matches the Rfam family "Bacterial small subunit ribosomal RNA", at positions 380 to 874 of the family's 1533-position model. The record is from RNAcentral.
AGCCUGAUCCAGCAAUGCCGCGUGAGUGAAGAAGGCCUUCGGGUUGUAAGCUCUUUCUAGUUGAGAAGAAAAGAUUGUGACUAAUAAUUGCAAUUCAUGACGGUAUCAACAGAAGAAGCACCGGCUAACUACGUGCCAGCAGCCGCGGUAAUACGUAGGGUGCGAGCGUUAAUCGGAAUUACUGGGCGUAAAGGGUGCGCAGGCGGUUCUGUAAGUCAGAUGUGAAAUCCCCGGGCUUAACCUGGGGAACUGCGUUUGAAACUACAGAGCUAGAGUGUGGCAGAGGGGGGUGGAAUUCCAUGUGUAGCAGUGAAAUGCGUAGAGAUAUGGAAGAACAUCGAUGGCGAAGGCAGCCCCCUGGGUCAACACUGACGCUCAUGCACGAAAGCGUGGGGAGCAAACAGGAUUAGAUACCCUGGUAGUCCACGCCCUAAAACUAUGUCAACUAGUUGUCGGGCCUUAUUAGGUUUGGUAACGUAGCUAACGCGUGAAGUUGACCGCCU